GUACCAUUGCUAGAUGGUCACUUUGAUUAGUACAGAAAUUGGUUCCUGUACUACCGGCUUAGGUUCGAACCUGCGGGGUCACACACAUUAGAAGUUCUUAUCUGAUCUGCUGGCUGAUGUAGAAUCCUACAUGUUUAGGACUCAGUAAUCGAGAAUCAGGAUUCUCUAAUCAUGAGUUUCACACAUUAUGGGUACCGGGGUCAAGAGUCCCACUGGUUGGGAUUUUUCGAUC
RNAcentral lists this long non-coding RNA (232 nucleotides) under Elaeis guineensis (African oil palm). RNAcentral's name for it is "long non-coding RNA (EGUI_LNC060722)". The record is from RNAcentral. Lineage: Eukaryota; Viridiplantae; Streptophyta; Magnoliopsida; Arecales; Arecaceae.